AUGGAGGAACCUCCAGCUUGGAGGACCUCCGGGUGUUUUGGAGGAGCGCUCCGCCUGGUCAUUGGAGGACUUCCUUUUCUUGGAGGACCUCAGCCUUGGGAGGGACUUCCGCCUAGUUGUUGGAGGACUCUCUGGCUGUUGUAUGGGAGGACUUCCUCUUGUUGGACGGACUCGCCUGUUCCUUGGAGGACCUCCAGCCCUUGGAGGACCUCCGGGUGUUGCUGGCAGGACUUCCUGUUGUUGGAGGACUUCCGCCUGUUGUUGGUCCUCCAUCCCUUGCCGUGGGUCCCGCUGCCCCCCCCCCAUUGGGGCUGUUGGCGGUUGUGGGUCCGGCUGUGGGUCAAACCAUCUCCUAUAGGCGAGCAGGAACACCCCCCCCCCCCAAGCCCGAUAACUCGUUAGCGUUAGUGCUAAUUAUGCUAAUGAAACCCAUAAUGAAGCCCUGAAUUGGAUAAGGGGGUUGGGGGGGUUUGCUAUGGUACCGGAGGGGGAGGGGGGAGGAAUAUGCAAAUAUGUAAUUAUGCAAAUGAGCCCCCGGGGUUAUUUAUAGUCGAGCUCCUCGUUAGCGGAGCAGCAUAAUGAACCAAUCAGUGCAAGUGCUGCACCUGCAAUGGGGGGAUAUAGGGGGGGAUAUGGGGGAUUAUGGGGGGAUAUAGGGGGGAUAUGGGGGGAUAUGGGGGAGAUAUGGGGGGGAUAUGGGGGGAUAUGGAGGGAUAUGGGGAUAUGGGGGAUAUGGGGAGCUUAUAAGGAUAUGGGGGAUAUGGGGGGAUAUAGGGGGAAUAUGGGGGGAUAUGGGGGGAUAUAGGGGAUAUGGGGGGUAUAGGGGGGAUAUGGGGGGAAUAUGGGGGGAUAGGGGGGAUAUGGGGUGAU
This 870-nucleotide long non-coding RNA is filed under the name Coturnix japonica (Japanese quail). RNAcentral describes it as "lncRNA (ENSCJPG00005017867.1)". The record is from RNAcentral. Lineage: Eukaryota; Metazoa; Chordata; Aves; Galliformes; Phasianidae.